UGGGGAAUUUUGCACAAUGGGCGAAAGCCUGAUGCAGCGACGCCGCGUGGAGGAAGAAUGCCUUCGGGUUGUAAACUCCUUUUGUAGGGGAAGAUAAUGACGGUACCCUGCGAAUAAGCCACGGCUAACUCUGUGCCAGCAGCCGCGGUAAGACAGAGGUGGCGAGCGUUGUUCGGAAUUACUGGGCUUAAAGGGUGCGUAGGCGGUAAUACAAGUCUGGGGUGGAAUUCUACGGCUUAACUGUAGGACUGCCCUGGAAACUGUAUAACUUGAGUCGGACAGGGGAAGGCGGAAUUCCAGGUGUAGCGGUGAAAUGCGUAGAUAUCUGGAGGAAGGUCUGUGGCGAAGGCGGCCUUCUGGGUUUUGACUGACGCUGAGGCACGAAAGCGUGGGGAGCAAACAGG
RNAcentral lists this ribosomal RNA (404 nucleotides) under uncultured bacterium. RNAcentral describes it as "bacterial SSU rRNA". It matches the Rfam family "Bacterial small subunit ribosomal RNA", at positions 355 to 776 of the family's 1533-position model. The record is from RNAcentral.